RNAcentral lists this ribosomal RNA (289 nucleotides) under uncultured bacterium. RNAcentral describes it as "partial 16S ribosomal RNA". It matches the Rfam family "Bacterial small subunit ribosomal RNA", at positions 773 to 1060 of the family's 1533-position model. The record is from RNAcentral.
GUGGAUUAGAUACCCUGGUAGUCCACGCCCUAAACGAUGCUCACUAGGUGUUGGGGAAGCGAUUCCUUGGUACCGUAGCUAACGCGUGAAGUGAGCCGCCUGGGGAGUACGGCCGCAAGGUUAAAACUCAAAGGAAUUGACGGGGACCCGCACAAGCGGUGGAUGAUGUGGAUUAAUUCGAUGCAACGCGAACAACCUUACCUACCCUUGACAUGUCCGGAAGCCUGCUGAAAGGUGGGUGUGCUCGAAAGAGAACCGGAACACAGGUGCUGCAUGGUGGUCAUCAACU